Molecule: long non-coding RNA, 397 nt
Filed under: Struthio camelus australis
Lineage: Eukaryota; Metazoa; Chordata; Aves; Struthioniformes; Struthionidae
Description: lncRNA (ENSSCUG00000018703.1)
Source: RNAcentral
UCUUCAAAACAAGAUCAAAAGAAGUUUGAGUGGUGCAGAAGCCCUAGAGCAAUGUAAUGGGUGUCAAGAAGCCUGGUGGCUGAUGUUCCCUCUCUUUCUUACUUCCUGUGAGAGUCCAAGCAAAGCCUUCCACGUCUGUGACCUCUCUCAUUUCUUCCUGUUGGACAAACCUGUGCAAAAAGAAACUGUGAACUCUUCUCUAGAAUCAUGUGAUUUGCUUUUCAAAAUACAAUGAAAGGUGAUGUUUUCACAAGCAUCCAGACAAAAUGGGACAUAAGAAGAAUAUUGAUUAUCACCAGACUGGAAAUAAGAGUUGUGAAACUUGGCGACUCCAAAGUCUAAUCACUGAAACAUGACUUCUGGGUUGAAAGAAAACGCAUAAAAAGAACACCACAUU